UUCCGGUUGAUCCUGCCGGAGGCUACCGCUAUUGGAGUUCGAUUAAGCCAUGCGAGUCCAGAGCUUUCGGAGCUCGGCGUACCGCUCAGUAACACGUGGGUAACCUAACCUAUGCAGGGGAAUAACCUCGGGAAACUGAGAAUAAUGCCCCAUAGUCCACUACGCCUGGAACGGUGAGUGGAUGAAAGCUCAGGCGGCAUAGGAUGGGCCUGCGGCGUAUCAGGUUGUAGGGGGUGUAAAGUACCCUCUAGCCCUCUACGCGUACGGGUGUUGGGAGACAUAGCCCGGAGAUGGAUUCUGAGACACGAAUCCAGACCCUACGGGGUGCAGCAGGCGCGAAAACUUGGCAAUGCGAGCAAUCGUGACCAGGGAACUCCAAGUGGCUGGGGUAAGACCCAGUCUUUUCAGAACUCUUCAAAGGUUUUAGAAUAAGGGGUGGGUAAGGACGGUGCCAGCCGCCGCGGUAAUACCGGCGCCUCAAGUGGUAGUCGCUUUUAUUGGGCCUAAAACGUCCGUAGCCGGUCUGAUACAUUCGUGGGUAAAUCAACCAGCUUAACUGGUUGAAUUCUGCGAGGACGGUCAGACUUGGGACCGGGAGAGGUGUGGGGUACGCUCAGGGUAGGGGUAAAAUCCUGUCAUCCUGAGCGGACCACCUGUUGCGAAGGCGCCACACUAGAACGGAUCCGACGGUCAGGGACGAAGCCUAGGGGCACGAACCGGAUUAGAUACCCGGGUAGUCCUAGGUGUAAACGCUGUGGACUUGAUGUUGGGGGUGCUCCGAGCACUCUCAGUGUCGAAGCGAAGGUGAUAAGUCCACUGCCUGGGAAGUACGGUCGCAAGGCUGAAACUUAAAGGAAUUGGCGGGGGAGCACCGCAACCUGAGGAUUGUGCGGUUUAAUUGGAUUCAACGCCGGA
This 915-nucleotide ribosomal RNA is filed under the name uncultured marine archaeon. RNAcentral describes it as "bacterial SSU rRNA". It matches the Rfam family "Archaeal small subunit ribosomal RNA", at positions 1 to 922 of the family's 1478-position model. The record is from RNAcentral.